GACGAACGCUGGCGGCGUGCUUAACACAUGCAAGUCGAACGGUGAAGCGCCUUCCUUUUUGGUGGGUGUGGAUGAGUGGCGAACGGGUGAGUAACACGUGAGUAACCUGCCCCCUUCUUCUGGAUAACCGCAUGAAAGUGUGGCUAAUACGGGAUAUUCUGGGUCUGUCGCAUGAUGGGUCUGGGAAAGAUAUUGUUUCGGUGGGGGAUGGGCUCGCGGCCUAUCAGCUUGUUGGUGGGGUGAUGGCCUACCAAGGCGGUGACGGGUAGCCGGCCUGAGAGAGUGGACGGUCACACUGGGACUGAGACACGGCCCAGACUCCUACGGGAGGCAGCAGUGGGGAAUAUUGCACAAUGGGCGCAAGCCUGAUGCAGCGACGCCGCGUGAGGGAUGGAGGCCUGCGGGUUGUGAACCUCUUUCGCCAGUGAAGCAGGCCUGCCUCGUUUGUGGGUGGGUUGACGGUAGCUGGAGAAGAAGCGCCGGCUAACUACGUG
Molecule: ribosomal RNA, 494 nt
Filed under: uncultured bacterium
Lineage: Bacteria
Description: partial 16S ribosomal RNA
Rfam family: Bacterial small subunit ribosomal RNA
Source: RNAcentral